RNAcentral lists this non-coding RNA (250 nucleotides) under Gaeumannomyces tritici R3-111a-1. RNAcentral describes it as "Gaeumannomyces graminis var. tritici R3-111a-1 Eukaryotic small subunit ribosomal RNA". It matches the Rfam family "Eukaryotic small subunit ribosomal RNA", at positions 1224 to 1443 of the family's 1831-position model. The record is from Rfam by way of RNAcentral. Lineage: Eukaryota; Fungi; Ascomycota; Sordariomycetes; Magnaporthales; Magnaporthaceae.
CCAGACACAACGAGGAUUGACAGAUUGAGAGCUCUUUCUUGAUUUUGUGGGUGGUGGUGCCUGGCCGUUCUUAGUUGGUGGAGUGAUUUGUCUGCUUAAUUGCGAUAACGACGGAAUAUUUUCUUGCUCAUCUUCCCGUCUUCUCCUUUUCGAAUGGAUUCUUAUUCAUCUUCUCUUUUCUCGAGAGGAUUCUUGUUCAUCGUCCCAUCUCCUCUUCCCUCGAGAACCCAGGGGCGCAGGCUCUUUGAUG